Raphanus sativus (radish) is the source of this 1538-nucleotide long non-coding RNA. RefSeq lists it as uncharacterized. The transcript has 5 exons. NCBI's taxonomy places the organism in Eukaryota, Viridiplantae, Streptophyta, Magnoliopsida, Brassicales, Brassicaceae. The record is from RefSeq and is a predicted model, not a curated record.
ACCCUUCAUCUCCCUUCACAUCCCUUCUUUCAUCAAACGUAUAAAAAAUCAGUCAUGAAUAGAUCAACGUUACAGUUUCUUGACUCAUUCUUUAAGGGAAAACCUUACUCAACUCACAAUUUCACCUUCAAUUCCAAAUUAAAUCCCACCCUUUCAUACGAAUCUGAAUCCAGCCAUUUCAUGUAUCUAUGAAAGCUCUCCUAUGAAUUUAAGGCCACACAAGACCCUCGCCACAAUCCACAGUAACUCAUGUCUUCAGCAAAUUCUUCUUUCUCGACUCCUGUAUUCCUACUUGGUGGUUUCACUCCUCUCUCUCCUUGCCAAUCGGGUAGAUGACGACGCAGAGGCCAAAGGAAAUCGCAAGCUAGCCAUCGGGGCGGUAGAGCUCUUCGGUGUGGGUGAUUAUCUUGAACGGACAGCGGUUCCCCUCAAGCUCUUCAUCUCCGGUAUGGAUUCUUCUUCUUCCACUGCUUCUAGAAGGGAGGAAACGGUAGCUACUCGGACCCGUGAGGCGCCGCCUCAACCAUAGCUUGUGGCGAUUUAGGUUUGGUGUCGGACCUUCGAUCCGAAACCGACGACUGUGGCCGCGGGGCGGGGCGCUCCGUGGUUGGCUCCUCUAACGAUGACCGGUGAUGGCUCUUGAGAUUGUUUGGAGACCCUAGCCUCAAGAAGUCUUGGAAAUUGAAUUUGUGAGCUCACCGGUGUUUGGUGUUUAACGGAGGAGUACCUCUAACCUUUUUCUCUUUUAUGCUUUGAUCUGUGCGUUUGUAGUCUCCAGGCUUACCUUAUUAGGGUAGAAUUCAGUAUAUAUUUUAUUUAUUUUAAAAAGAUAUGAAACGUACCUUAUAUUUUGUUUUUCAUUUUCAUUUUAGUUUGGCAUCUAUUUAAGCUUUCUAGAGUAGAUUGUGGAUACAUUUUAUGGCAGGUGAAUAAUAGCGUUGCUGGUCGAAGAAAAUAUGCAGAGCCUUAAGAAAAGCUUCUAAAAUUUUUAGUUCUGAAUCUUCUUAAAAAUGAACUGGGAGUUACAUCAAGGGAAAUAAAAAGGAUGUGGUUGAAUCCCUAGAGGCGAUGAAUGUGAAAGAAGCUAUAGAGAUGAAAGACAUCAUGGGUCUGAAGGAGUGAAGGGGAAUGGAGUUCUAUGUGUGUACUCUUAGGAAAUUAAUAUCAAAAACAUGUUGUUCAUCUCAAAAGAGAAGAAGAAAGAGCACCAACGAGUUCAGAGUGGAUUGUUUUCUGCUGACAAUCUAUUUCCCAAACAAUUUGAAACUCCAUAUGAUCUAUUAAAGAAUACUUAUCAGCUGAAGAAUCAUAUCGCCUCGCCAGAAGCAACAACAAAAAGAAUGGGCUAGGUCAGGUAUCUCUGAUUCCAGGAAAGUUUGGGCUGACGUAUAUACUAAGAGUAUCAUUUUCGAUUUGAUUACCUAAUGAUUUGUAUGACGUAAAAAAAAAAAAAAAAAAAAAAAAAAAAAAUUUGGUUUGUAGAACCCAAUGAUUUGUAUGACUACAUUUGAAGCUAUAUAAAACAAUGUUUCAAUAGA